RNAcentral lists this ribosomal RNA (496 nucleotides) under uncultured bacterium. Its description in RNAcentral is "partial 16S ribosomal RNA". It matches the Rfam family "Bacterial small subunit ribosomal RNA", at positions 28 to 506 of the family's 1533-position model. The record is from RNAcentral.
GAUGAACGCUGGCGGCGUGCCUAAUACAUGCAAGUCGAGCGAACAGAUGAGGAGCUUGCUCCUCUGACGUUAGCGGCGGACGGGUGAGUAACACGUGGAUAACCUACCUAUAAGACUGGGAUAACUUCGGGAAACCGGAGCUAAUACCGGACAAUAUAUUGAACCGCAUGGUUCAAUAGUGAAAGACGGUUUUGCUGUCACUUAUAGAUGGAUCCGCGCCGCAUUAGCUAGUUGGUAAGGUAACGGCUUACCAAGGCAACGAUGCGUAGCCGACCUGAGAGGGUGAUCGGCCACACUGGAACUGAGACACGGUCCAGACUCCUACGGGAGGCAGCAGUAGGGAAUCUUCCGCAAUGGGCGAAAGCCUGACGGAGCAACGCCGCGUGAGUGAUGAAGGUCUUCGGAUCGUAAAACUCUGUUAUUGGGGAAGAACAAAUGUGUAAGUAACUAUGCACGUCUUGACGGUACCUAAUCAGAAAGCCACGGCUAACUACGU